CCCCUGACUCUGGGAUAAGCGCUGGAAACGGCGUCUAAUACUGGAUAUGUGACGUGACCGCAUGGUCUGCGUCUGGAAAGAAUUUCGGUUGGGGAUGGGCUCGCGGCCUAUCAGCUUGUUGGUGAGGUAAUGGCUCACCAAGGCGUCGACGGGUAGCCGGCCUGAGAGGGUGACCGGCCACACUGGGACUGAGACACGGCCCAGACUCCUACGGGAGGCAGCAGUGGGGAAUAUUGCACAAUGGGCGCAAGCCUGAUGCAGCAACGCCGCGUGAGGGACGACGGCCUUCGGGUUGUAAACCUCUUUUAGCAGGGAAGAAGCGAAAGUGACGGUACCUGCAGAAAAAGCGCCGGCUAACUACGUGCCAGCAGCCGCGGUAAUACGUAGGGCGCAAGCGUUAUCCGGAAUUAUUGGGCGUAAAGAGCUCGUAGGCGGUUUGUCGCGUCUGCUGUGAAAUCCGGAGGCUCAACCUCCGGCCUGCAGUGGGUACGGGCAGACUAGAGUGCGGUAGGGGAGAUUGGAAUUCCUGGUGUAGCGGUGGAAUGCGCAGAUAUCAGGAGGAACACCGAUGGCGAAGGCAGAUCUCUGGGCCGUAACUGACGCUGAGGAGCGAAAGGGUGGGGAGCAAACAGGCUUAGAUACCCUGGUAGUCCACCCCGUAAACGUUGGGAACUAGUUGUGGGGUCCAUUCCACGGAUUCCGUGACGCAGCUAACGCAUUAAGUUCCCCGCCUGG
RNAcentral lists this ribosomal RNA (735 nucleotides) under Microbacterium sp. RNAcentral's name for it is "bacterial SSU rRNA". It matches the Rfam family "Bacterial small subunit ribosomal RNA", at positions 129 to 876 of the family's 1533-position model. Lineage: Bacteria; Bacillati; Actinomycetota; Actinomycetes; Micrococcales; Microbacteriaceae. The record is from RNAcentral.